RNAcentral lists this ribosomal RNA (504 nucleotides) under uncultured bacterium. RNAcentral describes it as "partial 16S ribosomal RNA". It matches the Rfam family "Bacterial small subunit ribosomal RNA", at positions 30 to 523 of the family's 1533-position model. The record is from RNAcentral.
AUUGAACGCUGGCGGCAGGCCUAACACAUGCAAGUCGAGCGGUAGCACAGAGAGCUUGCUCUCGGGUGACGAGCGGCGGACGGGUGAGUAAUGUCUGGGAAACUGCCUGAUGGAGGGGGAUAACUACUGGAAACGGUAGCUAAUACCGCAUAAUGUCGCAAGACCAAAGAGGGGGACCUUCGGGCCUCUUGCCAUCAGAUGUGCCCAGAUGGGAUUAGCUAGUAGGUGGGGUAAUGGCUCACCUAGGCGACGAUCCCUAGCUGGUCUGAGAGGAUGACCAGCCACACUGGAACUGAGACACGGUCCAGACUCCUACGGGAGGCAGCAGUGGGGAAUAUUGCACAACGGGCGCAAGCCUGAUGCAGCCAUGCCGCGUGUGUGAAGAAGGCCUUCGGGUUGUAAAGCACUUUCAGCGAGGAGGAAGGCAUUAAGGUUAAUAACCUUAGUGAUUGACGUUACUCGCAGAAGAAGCACCGGCUAACUCCGUGCCAGCCGCCGCCGUAA